RNAcentral lists this ribosomal RNA (284 nucleotides) under uncultured bacterium. RNAcentral's name for it is "partial 16S ribosomal RNA". It matches the Rfam family "Bacterial small subunit ribosomal RNA", at positions 32 to 294 of the family's 1533-position model. The record is from RNAcentral.
AAUCAACGCUGGCGGCGUGCCUAACACAUGCAAGUCGCGCGCGGAAAGGGGGGCAACCCCCGAGUAAAGCGGCGAACGGGUGAGUAACACGUGGGUAAUCUACCUUCGAGUGGGGAACAACAUCGGGAAACUGGUGCUAAUUCCGCAUGACCAUCGUCGGGGCUUCGGUUCUGACGAUCAAAGCUGGGGGAUCGUAAGACCUAGCGCUUGAAGAUGAGCCCGCGUCCGAUCAGCUAGNGGGCGGGGGUAAUGGCCCACCAAGGCUCCGAUCGGUAGCCGGCCUG